CGCGUAGGCGGUUUGUCAAGUUAGAUGUGAAAUGUCAGGGCUUAACCUUGGCGCUGCAUCUAAGACUGACAGACUAGAGUUUAGUAGAGGGCAGUGGAAUUUCCGGUGUAGCGGUGAAAUGCGUAGAUAUCGGAAGGAACAUCAGUGGCGAAGGCGACUGUCUGGACUGAAACUGACGCUGAGGCGCGAAAGCGUGGGGAGCAAACA
RNAcentral lists this ribosomal RNA (207 nucleotides) under uncultured bacterium. RNAcentral describes it as "partial 16S ribosomal RNA". It matches the Rfam family "Bacterial small subunit ribosomal RNA", at positions 568 to 774 of the family's 1533-position model. The record is from RNAcentral.